This 512-nucleotide ribosomal RNA is filed under the name uncultured eukaryote. RNAcentral describes it as "SSU rRNA". It matches the Rfam family "Eukaryotic small subunit ribosomal RNA", at positions 21 to 536 of the family's 1831-position model. The record is from RNAcentral.
UAGUCAUAUGCUUGUCUCAAAGAUUAAGCCAUGCAUGUCUAAGUAUAAGCAAUCUAUACGGUGAAACUGCGAAUGGCUCAUUAAAUCAGUUAUCGUUUAUUUGAUAGUACCUUACUACUUGGAUAACCGUGGUAAUUCUAGAGCUAAUACAUGCUAAAAACCCCGACUUCGGAAGGGGUGUAUUUAUUAGAUAAAAAACCAAUGCCAUUAGGGGCUCCUUGGUGAUUCAUAAUAACUUAACGAAUCGCAUGGCCUUGUGCCGGCGAUGGUUCAUUCAAAUUUCUGCCCUAUCAACUUUCGAUUGUAAGGUAGUGGCUUACAAUGGUUUCAACGGGUAACGGGGAAUUAGGGUUCUAUUCCGGAGAGGGAGCCUGAGAAACGGCUACCACAUCCAAGGAAGGCAGCAGGCGCGCAAAUUACCCAAUCCCGACACGGGGAGGUAGUGACAAUAAAUACUGAUACAGGGCUCUUUUGGGUCUUGUAAUUGGAAUGAGUACAAUUUAAAUCCCUUA